GACGAACGCUGGCGGCGUGCUUAACACAUGCAAGUCGAACGGAAAGGCCCUGCUUUUGUGGGGUGCUCGAGUGGCGAACGGGUGAGUAACACGUGAGUAACCUGCCCUUGACUUUGGGAUAACUUCAGGAAACUGGGGCUAAUACCGGAUAGGAGCUCCUGCUGCAUGGUGGGGGUUGGAAAGUUUCGGCGGUUGGGGAUGGACUCGCGGCUUAUCAGCUUGUUGGUGGGGUAGUGGCUUACCAAGGCUUUGACGGGUAGCCGGCCUGAGAGGGUGACCGGCCACAUUGGGACUGAGAUACGGCCCAGACUCCUACGGGAGGCAGCAGUGGGGAAUAUUGCACAAUGGGCGGAAGCCUGAUGCAGCAACGCCGCGUGCGGGAUGACGGCCUUCGGGUUGUAAACCGCUUUCGCCUGUGACGAAGCGUGAGUGACGGUAAUGGGUAAAGAAGCACCGGCUAACUACGUGCCAGCAGCCGCGGUGAUACGUAGGGUGCGAGCGUUGUCCGGAUUUAUUGGGCGUAAAGGGCUCGUAGGUGGUUGAUCGCGUCGGAAGUGUAAUCUUGGGGCUUAACCCUGAGCGUGCUUUCGAUACGGGUUGACUUGAGGAGGGUAGGGGAGAAUGGAAUUCCUGGUGGGGCGGUGGAAUGCGCAGAUAUCAGGAGGAACACCAGUGGCGAAGGCGGUUCUCUGGGCCUUUCCUGACGCUGAGGAGCGAAAGCGUGGGGAGCGAACAGGCUUAGAUACCCUGGUAGUCCACGCUGUAAACGGUGGGUACUAGGUGUGGGGUCCAUUCCACGGGUUCCGUGCCGUAGCUAACGCUUUAAGUACCCCGCCUGGGGAGUACGGCCGCAAGGCUAAAACUCAAAGGAAUUGACGGGGCCCCCCACAAGCGGCGGAGCAUGCGGAUUAAUUCGAUGCAACGCGUAGAACCUUACCUGGGUUUGACAUGGAUCGGGAGUGCUCAGAGAUGGGUGUGCCUCUUUUGGGGUCGGUUCACAGGUGGUGCAUGGCUGUCGUCAGCUCGUGUCGUGAGAUGUUGGGUUAAGUCCCGCAACGAGCGCAACCCUUGUUCACUGUUGCCAGCACGUUAUGGUGGGGACUCAGUGGAGACCGCCGGGGUCAACUCGGAGGAAGGUGGGGAUGACGUCAAGUCAUCAUGCCCCUUAUGUCCAGGGCUUCACGCAUGCUACAAUGGCUGGUACAGAGAGUGGCGAGCCUGUGAGGGUGAGCGAAUCUCGGAAAGCCGGCCUCAGUUCGGAUUGGGGUCUGCAACUCGACCUCAUGAAGUCGGAGUCGCUAGUAAUCGCAGAUCAGCAACGCUGCGGUGAAUACGUUCCCGGGGCU
Molecule: ribosomal RNA, 1346 nt
Filed under: uncultured bacterium
Lineage: Bacteria
Description: partial 16S ribosomal RNA
Rfam family: Bacterial small subunit ribosomal RNA
Source: RNAcentral